Molecule: long non-coding RNA, 485 nt
Organism: Pristis pectinata (smalltooth sawfish)
Lineage: Eukaryota; Metazoa; Chordata; Chondrichthyes; Rhinopristiformes; Pristidae
Exons: 2
Source: RefSeq, a predicted model, not a curated record
GUUUCCGGUGCGGCCGGAAGUGCGCCGCCGCCAUGAAGUCGUUCCCCAGACGCUGGGCGAAGCCGCUGCUGUUCGGGGCGGUGGCGGCGGCGCUGGCGGCCGGGUUCGUCCACAGGCGCAGUUUUUUCCCUGACAUCGAAGAGAUCCGAGAUAGAGAGCGGCAGAAGUAUGGUGAGAAGCUGCAGCUGGUUCUGGAACGAAGGGAGAGGCAGCUGCUGGAAAUAGAGCAGAAGAAAUCAUCCCGGUGAGCUUGGGAAAGAGCUGAACAAUGCCAGUACACGGUGGCUGUGUAUCCCGCUCCAGGGGACUGCAACCAGCCACCGUGUGCGAUCUGGCACCUGGACUGGACAAUUAGACUAAAAGGAACAGGAGUACUGGUCCAAAAUACAGAUAGUGGAAUGCGCCAUGAAGGAUCACACUAAUGAUGUAUCUCUAUGUUGCACACCAUGUGUUGUAAUAAAUCAUUUCUGAAUAUCAUGUUAACA